This is a long non-coding RNA of Aethalodelphis obliquidens (Pacific white-sided dolphin), 1269 nucleotides long. RefSeq lists it as uncharacterized. NCBI's taxonomy places the organism in Eukaryota, Metazoa, Chordata, Mammalia, Artiodactyla, Delphinidae. The record is from RefSeq and is a predicted model, not a curated record. The transcript has 3 exons.
ACUUCCGGGGGGGCGGGAGCACCGCCCUUAAGGUGGCUCUGUUAAGUCUCCUGUGGGGACGAGUGAAAGUGGGUUUUUAAGUUUAGGGGCGGUUCUUGCGAGUCGGCCCCCCACGUUGAGAACGCUCUGAAGUUUGUCUCCUGAUCAAGUUCAAGAGCGACUGUCCGGCUGCACCUGGAAGCCGAGUGAUUUGCAUUGCUUGAAACCUGGUGUUCAGCUAAGUCCCCGCCGCACCCCACCUCACCCUCCUGACCGUGGGAGAAAGGGUGCGGGGGUUCACAGCUUUGCCUCGGAGAGGAGGUUUCUUACAGGAGGUGGAAUUAGCGGGCAGCUCGGUGUCUAGUUGGGAACGAGCGUUUAGGGAAUCCGAAACUCGGGGAACCCGGUGAUCGCCUACUCCCCGCCCCCGCACAAGAUGCAUAGACACACCACACAUCCCACGUACACACGAACACACACACACACACACACACACACACACACACACACACACACACACACACACACCACUCCUCCCGUCCUGAUUUGCUUCCGGGAAAACUAGUCCGAGAGCAGCAGACACUUGCCAAAAGUCACACAGCGAGUCAGGAGUAGAAUCAAGAUUUAAAAUUUCUCCGCUCCCGGCCGGCCGGUGGGCCCAUAUCCUGUGUAGCCUCUAGGAAGCGCUAGACCCAUGCUUCCUCUUCCCUCCCUAGCCUGUGAGCUCCUUGAGAGAGGGCUCUGUCUUAUUCAUUGAUGUGCUCUGAAGACCCACACAGGGGCCCUGGAACAGAAUAGCUGCAUUACAGUUGAGCCUCCUUUUGUAGAUAAAGAAGGCAGAGUUCAGAGAAAUUAUGCAGAUCAUUCAGGGGCACAGAGUAAGUGGCUGUAGCCAGAGCCCUGAUGUUUUAAACACUACACCAUGAUACCGUAAACUGCUGUCCCUGGAGAACCACCAACUGCUCCUUGAGCUCUCAGCAUGAUGCAGGUACUCCAGAAAUGUGUGCGGAAAGAUGGAGGAAAGAAGGACAAGGGCAACGUUCGAAGCCUGAGAAAGUUUUUCCUAAUGCUUCCUGACCCCACCUCUAACCAACUCAGGGUCUUCUCCCAGAUGUACUCCAGGAAAUGGUUCCUUUCCGGGCAUUAAAAUGACCUGUUGCCUGUCUGACUCAUUAGGCUGGGACUGGUGAGGGCAGGCUCUGUGUCUGGGUCAUGGUGGUCUCCCUAGGGCCUAGCAGAGUGCCUGACACUUGAUAAAUAUGUGUGAAUAAAUUCUGUCCUUUGCCUGGA